Molecule: ribosomal RNA, 439 nt
Filed under: uncultured bacterium
Lineage: Bacteria
Description: partial 16S ribosomal RNA
Rfam family: Bacterial small subunit ribosomal RNA
Source: RNAcentral
CUACGGGCUGCUGCAGUGGGGAAUAUUGCACAAUGGACGAAAGUCUGAUGCAGCAACGCCGCGUGGAGGAUGACACAUUUCGGUGCGUAAACUCCUUUUAUAUAGGAAGAUAAUGACGGUACUAUAUGAAUAAGCACCGGCUAACUCCGUGCCAGCAGCCGCGGUAAUACGGAGGGUGCAAGCGUUACUCGGAAUCACUGGGCGUAAAGAGCGUGUAGGCGGGUAGUUAAGUCAGAAGUGAAAUCCAAUAGCUCAACUAUUGAACUGCUUUUGAAACUGAUUACCUAGAAUAUGGGAGAGGUAGAUGGAAUUUCUGGUGUAGGGGUAAAAUCCGUAGAGAUCAGAAGGAAUACCGAUUGCGAAGGCGAUCUACUGGAACAUUAUUGACGCUGAGACGCGAAAGCGUGGGGAGCAAACAGGAUUAGAUACCCCAGUAGUC